Molecule: ribosomal RNA, 250 nt
Filed under: uncultured bacterium
Lineage: Bacteria
Description: partial 16S ribosomal RNA
Rfam family: Bacterial small subunit ribosomal RNA
Source: RNAcentral
UGCUGACGAGCGGCGGACGGGUGAGUAACGCGUAGGAAUCUACCCAGUAGCGGGGGAUAGCUUGGGGAAACUCAAAUUAAUACCGCAUACGCCCUACGGGGGAAAGCAGGGGAUCUUCGGACCUCGCACUAUUGGAGUAGCCUGCGUUGGAUUAGCUUGUUGGUGGGGUAAAGGCCUACCAAGGCGACGAUCCAUAGCUGGUCUGAGAGGACGAUCAGCCACACUGGGACUGAGACACGGCCCAGACUCC